RNAcentral lists this ribosomal RNA (265 nucleotides) under uncultured archaeon. Its description in RNAcentral is "partial 16S ribosomal RNA". It matches the Rfam family "Archaeal small subunit ribosomal RNA", at positions 719 to 982 of the family's 1478-position model. The record is from RNAcentral.
ACAGUCACACAUUAGAUACCCGGGUAGUCCUGGCCGUAAACGAUGUGGACUUGGUGUCGGCCACGGUGCGACCGUUGUCGGUGCCGUAGGGAAGCCGUGAAGCGAGCCACCUGGGAAGUACGGCCGCAAGGCUGAAACUUAAAGGAAUUGGCGGGGGAGCACCACAACGGGUGGAGCUUGCGGUUUAAUUGGAUUCAACGCCGGAAAUCUUACCGGGACCGACAGCAACAUGAAGGCCAGGCUGAAGACUUUGCCGGAUUAGCUG